AUGCCUCCAAGAAAUGACAAGGACGGUGGUGAAGACAUCACCGUCGACCUCUAUCCAUUCAUUCGCGAGUACAAGGGCGGCCGUGUCGAGCGCUUUCUGCGCAGCCCAUUCGUGGCAGCGACGGAGGACCCGGCAGCCAACCGUGGAGUGGCGACGAGGGAUGUCAUCAUCGACAACUGCACCGGCGUGUCAGCACGCCUCUUUCUGCCUUCCGAUGCUGCAGCCGCCGGCGAGAGGCUUCCGGUCAUCAUGUACGUGCACGGUGGAUCGUUCUGCACCGAGAGCGCAUUUGGCCGCACAUACAAUAACUAUAUCAGGUCCCUCGCCGCACGGACUGGGGCUCUCGUCGUGUCUGUGGAGUACCGUCUUGCACCGGAGCAUCCUGUGCCUGCGGCCUACGACGAUGCAUGGGCCGCGCUCCAGUGGGUGGCGUCCCUCUCAGACCCCUGGCUGUCUAGCUAUGCCGACCCGGAGCGCACCUUCCUAGCGGGCGACAGCGCCGGCGGCAACAUCGUCUACAACACGGCGGUGCGUGCGGCUGGCCGCGGUACAAACAUCGUCGACAUCGAGGGGCUUGUCAUCGUUCACCCCUACUUCUGGGGGGUGGACCGGCUGUCCAGCUCCGAGACCGUCUGGGACGGCGUCGCCAUGUUUACGCCAGACUUUGUGGACAGGCUCUGGCCGUACGUCACGGCUGGCCAGCUUGAGAACGACGAUCCAUGGAUAAACCCUCUGGACGGGGACAUUGCCUCGCUGAUGUGCCGGCGUGUGCUGGUCGCCGUCGCUGAGAAGGAUAGCUUGUCUGGCCGUGGGCGCCGGUUGGCGGCUUCCAUGCGCAACCUCAUGUGGGCCGACGAUCAACACGCGGUGACAUUGGUGGAGUCAGAGGCCGAAGACCAUGGCUUCCACCUCUACAACCCCAUGCGUGCGACUAGUAAGACACUCAUGGAGAGUAUCAUACAGUUCAUAAACCAG
This 975-nucleotide ribosomal RNA is filed under the name Triticum aestivum (bread wheat). RNAcentral describes it as "partial small subunit ribosomal RNA". Lineage: Eukaryota; Viridiplantae; Streptophyta; Magnoliopsida; Poales; Poaceae. The record is from RNAcentral.